AGUGAACGCUGGCGGCAGGCCUAACACAUGCAAGUCGAGCGGCAGCGCGGGGGCAACCCUGGCGGCGAGCGGCGGACGGGUGAGGAAUUCGUCGGAAUCUGCCUUUUUGUGGGGGAUAACGUAGGGAAACUUACGCUAAUACCGCAUACGUCCUACGGGAGAAAGUGGGGGACCGCAAGGCCUCACGCAGAAAGAUGAGCCGACGACCGAUUAGCUAGUUGGUGGGGUAAAGGCCCACCAAGGCGACGAUCGGUAGCUGGUCUGAGGGGAUGAUCAGCAAACCUGGGACUGGAAAACGGCCCAAACCCAUAGGGGGGGGAGCGGGGGGGAAUUUGGGAAAAUGGGGGCAAGCAUGACCCCGCCAUGCCGGGUGUGGAAAAAAGGCCUUGGGGUUGUAAAGCACUUUUGUCGGGAAAAAAACCCCUGGAGAUAAAACCUCGGGGGGAUGAGGGUACGGGAAGAAAAAGCACCGGCUAAUUUCGU
Molecule: ribosomal RNA, 483 nt
Filed under: uncultured bacterium
Lineage: Bacteria
Description: partial 16S ribosomal RNA
Rfam family: Bacterial small subunit ribosomal RNA
Source: RNAcentral